Molecule: ribosomal RNA, 253 nt
Filed under: uncultured bacterium
Lineage: Bacteria
Description: partial 16S ribosomal RNA
Rfam family: Bacterial small subunit ribosomal RNA
Source: RNAcentral
UACAGAGGGUGCGAGCGUUGUUCGGAAUUAUUGGGCGUAAAGCGCUUGUAGGCGGCACGUCAAGUCGCGUGGGAAAUCCCCAGGCUUAACCUGGGAAGUGCGCGCGAAACUGACGAGCUUGAGUGCCGGAGAGGGUCGCGGAAUUCCCGGUGUAGAGGUGAAAUUCGUAGAUAUUCGGAAGAACACCAGUGGCGAAGGCGACUUACUGGACACAUAUUGACGCUGAGGUGCGAAAGCGUGGGGAGCAAACAGG